RNAcentral lists this non-coding RNA (24 nucleotides) under Arabidopsis thaliana (thale cress). The record is from RNAcentral. Lineage: Eukaryota; Viridiplantae; Streptophyta; Magnoliopsida; Brassicales; Brassicaceae.
AAAUUCUUAUGUGUACGCCUCUAG